GGUAAAUCUACGAGUUUUCAUAUCCAGUUUGAGAUAUUGAAUUCAAAAUGCAUGAUAUGUUUAUAAAUAAUUGUAUAAUUAUAAAAUAAUUUUAUUAACUUAAUCUACCCCUAAAAAUUUCUAGAAUGCCAAUUCCUUGCCCUCCCAGUCUCAGCCUCUUUCAUUUGCAGAGUAUACGCACCCAUUGGCAUUUUAUAUUCUCAUGCCAAACAAUAACAUCCUGUACCAUGGAUCCCAACGUUCUCAUGGCUUUAAAAUAUCAUUUCUACUUCCUUCUCUUAUUAUCUGCUACUUGUUUAAAGUUGUCUUCAUCUAUUCCAGACACAGAAACAGAUCAUGACAAAAAGGUUUCUUGGAACUUUGAUAACCACAGGAGGAGGGAAAUCCUGGAAUCUAAAUCCAACCUUCAGGCACCUGCAGGGUCUACCGGGAAAGUUCUUGAUGACAAGCUAAGGAAAGCUGAAAUGCGUAAUAUGACAUUAACAGUUAACCAGAAUGGGACUGGAGAUUUCAAGACCAUAGGAGAAGCUCUUAAAAGCAUUCCACCAUACAACACCAGGAGAGUUAUAAUAGCGAUCAAACCAGGCGUUUAUAGAGAAAAGAUUGCCAUCCCAAGAACAUUGCCCUUUAUCACAUUUCUAGGGGAUUCAAGUGAUCCACCAAUUAUUACUGGCAACGAUACUGCAUCAUCACUCCCUGGAAAAGAUGGGAAGCCAUUGAGGACGUUUCAAAGUGCUACUGUCGCUGUUGAUGCAAAUUAUUUUACAGCCAUCAACGUGAAAUUUGAGAACACUGCUACACAUGAGAUAGGGUCCAAAGGAGGACAAGGCGUGGCACUUCGAAUAUCAGGGACCAAGGCAGCAUUUUACAAUUGCAGUUUUUAUGGAAGCCAGGACACGCUUUAUGAUCACAAGGGUCUUCACUACUUCAGCAAUUGUUUCAUCCAGGGCUCUGUUGAUUUCAUUUUCGGUUCUGGAAGGUCCCUCUACGAGAAUUGCCAUUUAAACUCAGUAACGAAGAAGGUGGCAUCUCUCACUGCUCAAAAGCGCAGCAAUUCUUCAUUGGAAAGUGGGUUCUCCUUGAAAGAUUGUGUGGUGACAGGGAGUGGAUUGGUGUACCUAGGCAGAGCUUGGGGUGAUUAUUCCAGGGUUGUUUUCUCUUACACUUACAUGGACAAGGUUGUUCUUCCCCAAGGUUGGAAUGAUUGGGGUGACCAAAACCGUGACACGAGAGUGUUUUAUGGAGAGUACAAGUGCAGUGGGCCUGGAGCCAACUUCGCAGGAAGGGUUCCAUGGGCACGAAUUCUUACAGAUGAAGAGGCUCAGCCUUUUAUAGGGACUUCCUAUGUUGAUGGGGAUACUUGGCUCAUUACUCCUUGACAUCUUGAUUUCUUUCUUCAUCUAUUACGUACCCAUGUACUUGAAAGGUUCAUCAGGGCGUCUUUUUCUUCUUUUGGUAAUUGGUAUAAUCCAAAAGAAUUAUGAAGGUUCCACAUUUAAUUUUAGAAUAUUGUGAAGAAAUUCUAAAAUUUAAAUAAAAAUAAAGGUAUA
This 1550-nucleotide unclassified non-coding RNA is filed under the name Hevea brasiliensis (rubber tree). The record is from RNAcentral. Lineage: Eukaryota; Viridiplantae; Streptophyta; Magnoliopsida; Malpighiales; Euphorbiaceae.